CACAGAAGGAGGAAAGGUCAUCCAGGACAGAUGCUGGCUGUGGCUCGAGGCAUCUGCAGCUUUCCUGGAAUGCUGGUUCUGCCCAGACCAUCCCAGGUGUUCAGCCCAGAUGAGAACCAGUUGAUCAGCCUUAUGUGAAGAAGGGUGGGUUCAGCUGUAAACCUAAAGCUCUACAUGACAUCUGCCCAGGCUCUUCCGGCUUUCAUAGUCUCUGGUGAGAAGUCCAGUGUAAUUAUGCAUUUAGCUGUGACCUUCCUGGCUGGCAACCUCCACCCUUCCUCAGGCGUUAUCUCCGGUCUAUUCAAGAUAACAAUACAGCCGAUUUCACCUCAGCGCAGCUCCAGCCGGAGACCAACAGAAAACUGUGUGACUAAGCAGACAACCCGCUGAGAAGAAGAUCUAUGAACUCUCGGCCAUUUGGGGGGCAGGGUGGUUUUUCCUAAGAUUAUAAAUAUUGGCUUAAUGAUAGUAAAGUCGGUCUCUAUGGGCAACUGUCCUCUUGACUCAUUUC
This is a long non-coding RNA of Apodemus sylvaticus (European woodmouse), 511 nucleotides long. RefSeq lists it as uncharacterized. The transcript is spliced from 3 exons. NCBI's taxonomy places the organism in Eukaryota, Metazoa, Chordata, Mammalia, Rodentia, Muridae. The record is from RefSeq and is a predicted model, not a curated record.